RNAcentral lists this ribosomal RNA (547 nucleotides) under uncultured bacterium. Its description in RNAcentral is "bacterial SSU rRNA". It matches the Rfam family "Bacterial small subunit ribosomal RNA", at positions 355 to 896 of the family's 1533-position model. The record is from RNAcentral.
UGGGGAAUAUUGCGCAAUGGGGGGAACCCUGACGCAGCCAUGCCGCGUGAAUGAAGAAGGCCUUCGGGUUGUAAAGUUCUUUCGGUAUUGAGGAAGGUUGAUGUGUUAAUAGCACAUCAAAUUGACGUUAAAUACAGAAGAAGCACCGGCUAACUCCGUGCCAGCAGCCGCGGUAAUACGGAGGGUGCGAGCGUUAAUCGGAAUAACUGGGCGUAAAGGGCACGCAGGCGGUUAUUUAAGUGAGGUGUGAGAGCCCUGGGCUUAACCUAGGAAUUGCAUUUCAGACUGGGUAACUAGAGUACUUUAGGGAGGGGUAGAAUUCCACGUGUAGCGGUGAAAUGCGUAGAGAUGUGGAGGAAUACCGAAGGCGAAGGCAGCCCCUUGGGAAUGUACUGACGCUCAUGUGCGAAAGCGUGGGGAGCAAACAGGAUUAGAUACCCUGGUAGUCCACGCUGUAAACGCUGUCGAUUUGGGGGUUGGGGUUUAACUCUGGCGCCCGUAGCUAACGUGAUAAAUCGACCGCCUGGGGAGUACGGCCGCAAGGUUA